AGCGCGCGGCCAGCUUCAGUGUCUGGAUCUUGCUCAGCUUGUCGGACGGGAGCGUCGGGAUGAUCUUGCGCAGCGCAGCGAAGGCCUCGUUCAGGGACUGCGUCCUCUGGCGCUCGCGCACGUUGGCCAUGACGCGCUGCGAGUGAAGCUCCUCGAGAGACGGCGGGCUGCCGCUGCUGCCCCCGCUUCCGCUGUACGACUUCUUCCCUCUCUUCCCCGGAACAGAGCUGUCCGAGUCCUCGGCGUCCUUGCGGCUCGAGCGUCUUUUCCGCACGCUCUUCUUGGUGUGGCGCUCGAGCUCGCCUUCGCUGCUGCUGCUCGGGACGCUGUCCGCUGGAGACCCGGGGCAGCUCGAUCCGUCCUGCACAGCUUCUUCGGGCAUCUCUUUAUUUCCGAGGCGCGUCAAGACGGCCGCGUUUAUUCCCUCAUCGGGCUGCGUUGGAAUAAUGCGCUUUGCAGGAGAAAAACAAACAACAAGAAGAGUAACAAAAAAUGUAUCCAGGUUUCCACGCGACAGAAAAAGUUGACUCGGGACAAAAAAGUUGGGGCGCUCUUAUAGCCGGAGGAGAGAGAGUUGAUUGGCCCAGGACGCGCAGGCCGCUACGUGAGAAGGAGGGGUGAGAGAGAGCACUACUAUCCUUCACAAUAGCCAUGCUUAUCAGGAUUCAUCUGCUGGGCAUUAAAUGAUGUGACACCAGGUCAGAGUGUCUACUGAACAUUGUCAAAGAGGCUGACAUUCUCAAGAAAAGUAUGAACUGGCAGGGUGGGGGUGCUGCAGUGUUAGCAAGACAUGCCGGCAUGGCUCUUUCUUCAGCCAGUUUCCAUCACACACAGCACCACAAACUGAUCACCUGCUUUUCCUGGAAAUCAAAGCUGAAGUAAUGGACUGACUCUGCAGCCAACCUGAUGAAGCAUGAACUUUUUUUAACAUGAUAAAAAGUUGGUUAACAAAAUAAACAGCAAUCCAUUUAACAGUAUCGAAAUACUUAUACGCAACUACAACAGAUUAUUAGUCACAGAUUAUCAA
Neoarius graeffei (lesser salmon catfish) is the source of this 1027-nucleotide long non-coding RNA. RefSeq lists it as uncharacterized. Lineage: Eukaryota; Metazoa; Chordata; Actinopteri; Siluriformes; Ariidae. The transcript is spliced from 3 exons. The record is from RefSeq and is a predicted model, not a curated record.